RNAcentral lists this ribosomal RNA (253 nucleotides) under uncultured bacterium. RNAcentral's name for it is "partial 16S ribosomal RNA". It matches the Rfam family "Bacterial small subunit ribosomal RNA", at positions 524 to 776 of the family's 1533-position model. The record is from RNAcentral.
UACGUAGGGGGCAAGCGUUGUCCGGAUUUACUGGGCGUAAAGAGCGUGUAGGCGGCCAAGCAGGUCCGUUGUGAAAACUGGAGGCUUAACCUCCAGACGUCGACGGAAACCGCGCGGCUAGAGUCCGGAAGAGGAGAGUGGAAUUCAUGGUGUAGCAGUGAAAUGCGUAGAGAUCAUGAGGAAGACCAGUGGCGAAGGCGGGUCUCUGGACAGUUCCUGACACUGAGACACGAAGGCCAGGGGAGCAAACGGG